GGAGACGUGCCUGAGUGGUCGAAAGGGGCACCCUGCUAAGGUGUUAAGGAGCUUGCUCCUUCGAGGGUCCGAAUCCCUCCGUCUCCG
Molecule: transfer RNA, 87 nt
Filed under: Aeriscardovia aeriphila
Lineage: Bacteria; Bacillati; Actinomycetota; Actinomycetes; Bifidobacteriales; Bifidobacteriaceae
Rfam family: tRNA
About the family: Transfer RNA (tRNA) molecules are approximately 80 nucleotides in length. Their secondary structure includes four short double-helical elements and three loops (D, anti-codon, and T loops).
Source: Rfam by way of RNAcentral